GCAACAGCUCAAAUUUGAAAUCUGGCCCUCUUUGGGGGUCCGAGUUGUAAUUUGCAGAGGGUGCUUUGGCAUUGGCGGCGGUCUAAGUUCCUUGGAACAGGACAUCGCAGAGGGUGAGAAUCCCGUACGUGGGCGCCUGCCUUUGCCGUGUAAAGCCCCUUCGACGAGUCGAGUUGUUUGGGAAUGCAGCUCUAAAUGGGAGGUAAAUUUCUUCUAAAGCUAAAUACCGGCCAGAGACCGAUAGCGCACAAGUAGAGUGAUCGAAAGAUGAAAAGUACUUUGGAAAGAGAGUCAAAUAGCACGUGAAAUUGUUGAAAGGGAAGCGCUUGCAGCCAGACUUGCCCGCAGUUGCUCACCCAGGCUCCGGCCUGGGGCACUCUUCUGCGAGCAGGCCAGCAUCAGUUUGGGCGGUUGGAUAAAGGCCUCUGUCACGUAUCUCCCUUCGGGGUGACCUUAUAGGGGAGGCGCAAUGCAACCAGCCCGGACUGAGGUCCGCGCAUCUGCUAGGAUGCUGGCGUAAUGGCUGUAAGCGGCCCGUCUUGAAACACGGACCAAGGAGUCUAACAUCUAUGCGAGUGUUUGGGUGUCAAGCCCGGGCGCGUAAUGAAAGUGAACGGAGGUGGGAACCCUUCGGGGUGCACCAUCGACCGAUCCUGAUGUCUUCGGAUGGAUUUGAGUAAGAGCAUAGCUGUUGGGACCCGAAAGAUGGUGAACUAUGCUUGAAUAGGGUGAAGCCAGAGGAAACUCUGGUGGAGGCUCGCACCGGUUCUGACGUGCAA
RNAcentral lists this ribosomal RNA (779 nucleotides) under Coniothyrium palmicola. Its description in RNAcentral is "LSU rRNA". It matches the Rfam family "Eukaryotic large subunit ribosomal RNA", at positions 101 to 896 of the family's 3401-position model. Lineage: Eukaryota; Fungi; Ascomycota; Dothideomycetes; Pleosporales; Coniothyriaceae. The record is from RNAcentral.